AACGAACGCUGGCGGCAUGCCUAACACAUGCCAGUCGAACGAGACCUUCGGGUCUAGUGGCGCACGGGUGCGUAACGCGUGGGAACCUGCCCUUAGGUUCGGAAUAACUCCCCGAAAGGGGUGCUAAUACCGGAUAAUGUCUUCGGACCAAAGAUUUAUCGCCUUUGGAUGGGCCCGCGUUGGAUUAGCUAGUUGGUAGGGUAAAAGCCUACCAAGGCGACGAUCCAUAGCUGGUCUGAGAGGAUGAUCAGCCACACUGGGACUGAGACACGGCCCAGACUCCUACGGGAGGCAGCAGUGGGGAAUAUUGGACAAUGGGCGAAAUCCUGAUCCAGCAAUGCCGCGUGAGUGAUGAAGGCCUUAGGGUUGUAAAGCUCUUUUACCCGGGAUGAUAAUGACAGUACCGGGAGAAUAAGCGCCGGCUAACUCCGUG
This 433-nucleotide ribosomal RNA is filed under the name uncultured bacterium. Its description in RNAcentral is "partial 16S ribosomal RNA". It matches the Rfam family "Bacterial small subunit ribosomal RNA", at positions 29 to 507 of the family's 1533-position model. The record is from RNAcentral.